AUUUUUCACGCUCAUGCUAUUUUACAUUAUAUCAUACAUCAUCAAAGGAUGUUAAAUUAGCUUGUCAAUUUAACACAUUACCAGUACCAGUUUAUGAUCUUUUUGCCAAGAAUUUAACCUGGUGGGCACCCACAUACACAGGGGACUAUAUGUUUUCCCAAAGAUAACACACACAGGUAGCCACACAUAUCCUAAAAGGAGAACUCCUUAAGGUGAGUUCACAAAUUCAGAAUGAUUUAGCCCAUCAUUGGUACAAUGCUUUACUGGUUGGUCCCCUACUGGAUCCCAGAUAAUGAAAUCAUUCUUCUAUCAUUUUGUUAUUAUAGUCCUGAUUUUAUUGUGUAUGAUUUUAUAUAACUGUCACCUUACUUGUACAUUGAGGAAGUGAGUACAGAAAUUAAUCCAUAAUGCAGAACAGAAACAAUUAGAAAUUCUCCUCUCUGCCACUGGAGGGUAUCAACCCAUCUUUAAACUGGGCCUUAGGAAUUACCACAUGGGAAUCGAGGUGAAGAAAUUAAUGAAAGUCCCGCAGGGAGUGACUAGCACCCCUGAAAAUACCAUGUGGAAGUUUCUCUGUCCUGGUAAGAUUUUAUCGAUAAGAUGAGCAAUUUUUUUAUUGCUCAAAGAGGGGAAUGUAAGAAUAUGAAAUAGUUAACGUGUUCAUAUGUAUUUUAUGCUUUUAUAAGGUUUAUAAAUAUUAUUGCUGACUGAAAGGAUAUGAAAUAGUUAAACUCAAUGUACGACAUAAUAUGCUGACUGUGACAGACUAAGGUAUUUCUUCUAUAGGAUGUAAGACAAUGCUAAAUUUCAGGAUGUCUUGCCCAUUCCGAUUUCAGGAUACUUUUCCCCAGACGUAUGCAAAAGCUUAUCUUUCCAUUGU
Non-coding RNA from Pelobates cultripes (western spadefoot toad), 880 nucleotides. NCBI's taxonomy places the organism in Eukaryota, Metazoa, Chordata, Amphibia, Anura, Pelobatidae. The record is from the annotation of a GenBank genome assembly.